AGAGUUUGGCCACGUGGGAGACAGAGAAUAAAAUCUACUGCAAGCAGACGCUUGUGGAUCAAGACGGACCCGUCACAUUCUGGAGCAGAGAGCUACGUGGAGACGAACUGAUCCUGAUCUUUGGGGCCGACGACGUGGUGUGCACAAGGAUUUACGUGCGAGAAUGAGGUGAAGUGGAGACCGUGACCAUGAAAAACACAACCAAACAGCCCUGCGUCCCAAGAUACCUUGUGUCUAGAAACACCAGAACCCUUCUUUACAUGUGAACAUGCAUCCGUUCAGUGCAUUGUGGGUGUUUUUAUUCUGUUUGUACCUCUCUCUUUGUCCGUUUCUGACACAGAUGUGUGUAUUGCAAACAAAAGCAGUAAUAAAAAUGUAAACGAACAU
This is a long non-coding RNA of Carassius auratus (goldfish), 387 nucleotides long. RefSeq lists it as uncharacterized. The transcript is spliced from 2 exons. The record is from RefSeq and is a predicted model, not a curated record. Lineage: Eukaryota; Metazoa; Chordata; Actinopteri; Cypriniformes; Cyprinidae.